AUUGAUAUAGUGAAAAACAAUAUCUUUAAUAUCUUUUUUUUUUUAAUAAAAAUCAACCUUUAAUAUGAUUCCAACUGUACACAAUCAUCCUCGUUAUAAAUAAUUGUAUCAUUAUAUGAUUUUAAUUGACUACAAUCAACACACAUUUAAACCUAAGUUAGAGGGUAAAACUCGAGCAAAAACUAACCACUUGAACAAUAGACGGUUUGUGAUAUAUGAUUAGAAUGGUUCUUUAUAUAUUACAUUCCAUGUUUGUUCUCUGUAAAACAAUGAUUUGUUGUUGUAUUUUUUAAAGAGACCAUUCUUUAUAUAUAAGAAUAGGCACAUUGACCUACCUAAAUUGGUUGCAACUUUCCAUGGGGGCAUGGAGAUUUUUAAUACCAACUUAAUACCCCCUACAAGUGGGAGCAUGGAGAUUUCUAAUACCAACUUUCCAUGAAAAGUGUCAAACAACGAUUUUCUAAAGCUUUUAGUAGUAGCAACAGCAAUAGUAGUAAUAGAGAUUGAGUGGAUAUUUUCUUUGAGAACUUAAUUCCAAUAAGAAUGGAAGUCCAAUUCAAUGUGCUUGAUGAAUUCAAGGAACAUCGUGUUUUUGGAAAUAUGUAAAGCCAUCUGACUAUCAGAAUGAAUGAUCAUUGGUUUAUCAUGAACAACCUUAGGUUAGAGAGGAACCUUUUUAAUGAUUGUAACUCACAUGUAGUAGUUGCCAUUGUCCUAUACUCAACCUUAACCAAAGAUUGAGAUAUAGUGUGUUGUUUCUUUGUUUUCCAAUAAACAUAUAAGAGAGUCACCAAGCAUCACUCGUCAUCCGAUGGAUGAUUGAUCAUCUGGUUAAAGAGAAACUAGCCAAAUAUGAGUUGCACCAACCAUGAAGUUGUAACUCACAUUCUUG
This 892-nucleotide long non-coding RNA is filed under the name Cicer arietinum (chickpea). Its description in RNAcentral is "long non-coding RNA (CARI_LNC002328)". Lineage: Eukaryota; Viridiplantae; Streptophyta; Magnoliopsida; Fabales; Fabaceae. The record is from RNAcentral.